GUUCAGUUCCGCCUAAUUGUUUCUACAUAUAGAAUAAUGGAAGGUUUUGCUUCUGCUUGACAGCGAUGAAUAAAAUGUACAUUAUUAGGAUCCGAUAACUGACAGAUAACUGGGGUUAGGUCAUCAUACCUCUUAUUAAUUCUUAUUGUCCCAGUUUGACCCAUCUGACAAAUGUCACGUGUAUGCAGAACAAUGUCCUAGGAUAAAUUAGGAUUCAAUCCAUAUUGAUUCUAAUACCCCAUGUAGUGUUAUGUUUCACUCUAAGAACUGUACACCCUGAAUGCAAAUGUAUAAGUUGUCGAUGAAUACAUAUGGAGUGAGGAAUCUUUAGCAACAUAGACAGUUAAGACCCAAUCGGACCAUCUAACAUUGGAAUGUUUCUGCUGUAGACUUAGAGCUUAAUCAGUCCUUGGUCUUUUCUUAUAUUAAGUAUAACCAUAUACCUAUCCCAUGUAUGUUUUAAUUCCUUCACUAUACUGACCUCUACCACUUUUUCUGGGAGGCAGUUCCGCUUACCUACCAGCCUCUCGGUAAAGUGGCACCCACUUUGUUCACCACAUCAUGUGCUGAAACCAUAAUACGAUUUGCUAAAAAGCAAGUGGGAUAAAAUAAUAUGACGUAAUGUCCUAUUUCAAAUACAUAACAGACCAACGGAGUAUUAUGCAAAUCCAUAACAAAA
Long non-coding RNA from Spea bombifrons (plains spadefoot toad), 679 nucleotides. RefSeq lists it as uncharacterized. NCBI's taxonomy places the organism in Eukaryota, Metazoa, Chordata, Amphibia, Anura, Pelobatidae. The transcript has 2 exons. The record is from RefSeq and is a predicted model, not a curated record.